UACGUAGGGGGCAAGCGUUGUCCGGAAUUACUGGGCGUAAAGCGUGCGCAGGCGGUUCGUGAUGUCUGGUGUGAAAGCCCCGGGCUUAACCUGGGAAUUGCAUUGGAAACUAGCGGGCUGGAGUGUGGCAGAGGGGGGUGGAAUUCCACGUGUAGCAGUGAAAUGCGUAGAGAUGUGGAGGAACACCGAUGGCGAAGGCAGCCUCCUGGGCCAGCACUGACGCUCAUGCACGAAAGCGUGGGGAGCAAACAGG
Molecule: ribosomal RNA, 253 nt
Filed under: uncultured bacterium
Lineage: Bacteria
Description: partial 16S ribosomal RNA
Rfam family: Bacterial small subunit ribosomal RNA
Source: RNAcentral